This is a long non-coding RNA of Stylophora pistillata, 700 nucleotides long. The record is from RefSeq and is a predicted model, not a curated record. NCBI's taxonomy places the organism in Eukaryota, Metazoa, Cnidaria, Anthozoa, Scleractinia, Pocilloporidae.
CACAAGAUUUUAGUUUGCGAUCACUCAUAGAUUUUUAACAUGUCUUUAGGUAAAAUGGAUCGCGGAUUUUUUCUUAUUAUCGUGGUAUUAACAGUGUUAGUCAACUUUAUUCAAGGCUCUGCUGAAGAAGAACCUAAUGCGAUGAGAAGGAACUCGCUUUUAGAAAAACUUGGCAUGGAAUUACACAGGGAUCCAGCCUACUACGAAUACAAACCCUACAAACCAUACAAACGGCGCUGCUACUGUGGACCUAAGCGACGCCGGUACGGGAAGCGAAAGGGUGAUUCCGACUCGAACUCAGACUCUGACUCUGACUCGGACAAUGGCGGAUCACCCGGAUAUUACCGAAAAUAUGGUAAAUACAAGAAAUACGGAGGAUUUCGGUAUCGGGGGAACCGUUCUUCAGACGAAGAGUAGAGAAUCGAUAUUGAAAACAGCAAUGGAUGGAAAAUCAAUGAAAGGACAAGGAUUAUGAGGAACUAACGGAAUAUCGCGACAAAAAAAAAAAUAGAAGAAACUCUGCCACGAUUGUGACUUUGCUUUUUUUCUGCCCUUACAACUUUCGUUUCUGCAUUCUUUUUAAAUGGUGUAGCCUUAUAAUGAUAAAAUUUUAACAUUUAAAUUCUCAAGAUGCGGCUUGCAAUCGUCUCUUUUAGCUAAUAAUAAUAAAUCAAAUAAACUUUAUGUAUGAGUUAGGAAA